This 370-nucleotide ribosomal RNA is filed under the name uncultured bacterium. RNAcentral's name for it is "bacterial SSU rRNA". It matches the Rfam family "Bacterial small subunit ribosomal RNA", at positions 29 to 416 of the family's 1533-position model. The record is from RNAcentral.
AGCGAACGCUAGCGGCGGGCCUAACACAUGCAAGUCGAGCGGAGGGGCAACCCUCAGCGGCGAACGGGUGAGUAACACGUAGGUAAUGUACCCUCUGGUGGGGAAUAACCGUGGGAAACCAUGGCUAAUACCGCAUAUGUCUUUCGAGAUGAAAGCAGCAAUGCGCCAGAGGAGCAGCCCGCGGCCGAUUAUUUAGUCCUAGUUGGUGAGGUAAUGGCUCACCAAGGGUACGAUCGGUAGCUGGUCUGAGAGGAUGAUCAGCCACACUGGAACUGAGACACGGUCCAGACUCCUACGGGAGGCAGCAGUGGGGAAUAUUGCGCAAUGGGCGAAAGCCUGACGCAGCCACGCCGCGUGAGUGAUGAAGGCC